This 295-nucleotide long non-coding RNA is filed under the name Medicago truncatula (barrel medic). Its description in RNAcentral is "long non-coding RNA (MTRU_LNC002992)". Lineage: Eukaryota; Viridiplantae; Streptophyta; Magnoliopsida; Fabales; Fabaceae. The record is from RNAcentral.
UUUUCUUUCCAAUAUACAAAUCCAAAAGCUUCACAAAAAGUACCCAUUUUUCCAGAAUAUCUCCUACACCUAUCAUUUUCAGAAAGUACCAAUUCAACACAACAUCAAUGUAAAGUGGGUGCAAUCUGCACAAACACGCCUAUGUUCUAUACAUGAGUAAGUAAAUUUGUAAGCAACACCAACAAGUUAAUCUACAAAAUUGAAUUUACACAUUAAUUUCCCUUUAUUUCCUAUGCUCUUCAAUCUGCACAAUCACGCCUCCACGGAAUACGGAAACAGCUCGGAUGAACAACAC